CUGGAACGCGCCCCAGGCGCACCCAGAAACCCUUUGUGAACUUAUACCUUACUGUUGCCUCGGCGCAUGCUGGUCCUCCGGGGCCCCUCACCCCCGGGUGUUGAGACGGCACGCCGGCGGCCAACCUAACUCUUGUUUUUACACUGAAACUCUGAGAAUAAAACAUAAAUGAAUCAAAACUUUCAACAACGGAUCUCUUGGUUCUGGCAUCGAUGAAGAACGCAGCGAAAUGCGAUAAGUAAUGUGAAUUGCAGAAUUCAGUGAAUCAUCGAAUCUUUGAACGCACAUUGCGCCCUCUGGUAUUCCGGAGGGCAUGCCUGUUCGAGCGUCAUUUCAACCCUCAAGCCUGGCUUGGUGAUGGGGCACUGCCUGUAAAAGGGCAGGCCCUGAAAUUCAGUGGCGAGCUCGCCAGGACCCCGAGCGCAGUAGUUAAACCCUCGCUCUGGAAGGCCCUGGCGGUGCCCUGCCGUUAAACCCCCAACUUCUGAAAAU
RNAcentral lists this ribosomal RNA (492 nucleotides) under Diaporthe sp. Eho005. RNAcentral describes it as "eukaryotic LSU rRNA". The stretch from base 178 to 331 matches the Rfam family "5.8S ribosomal RNA". The record is from RNAcentral. Lineage: Eukaryota; Fungi; Ascomycota; Sordariomycetes; Diaporthales; Diaporthaceae.